Molecule: ribosomal RNA, 433 nt
Filed under: uncultured bacterium
Lineage: Bacteria
Description: partial 16S ribosomal RNA
Rfam family: Bacterial small subunit ribosomal RNA
Source: RNAcentral
AACGAACGCUGGCGGCAGGCUUAACACAUGCCAGUCGAACGCACCUUUCGGGGUGAGUGGCAGACGGGUGAGUAACGCGUGGGAAUCUACCCUUCUCUACGGGAUAGCUCCGGGAAACUGGAAUUAAUACCGUAUACGUCCUGAGGGAGAAAGAUUUAUCGGGGAAGGAUGAGCCCGCGUUGGAUUAGCUAGUUGGUGGGGUAAAGGCCUACCAAGGCGACGAUCCAUAGCUGGUCUAAGAGGAUGAUCAGCCACGUUGGGACUGAGACACGGCCCAAACUCCUACGGGAGGCAGCAGUGGGGAAUAUUGGACAAUGGGCGCAAGCCUGAUCCAGCCAUGCCGCGUGAGUGAUGAAGGCCCUAGGGUUGUAAAGCUCUUUCAGUGGGGACGAUAAUGACGGUACCCACAGAAGAAGCCCCGGCUAACUUCGUG